This 466-nucleotide ribosomal RNA is filed under the name uncultured bacterium. Its description in RNAcentral is "partial 16S ribosomal RNA". It matches the Rfam family "Bacterial small subunit ribosomal RNA", at positions 28 to 507 of the family's 1533-position model. The record is from RNAcentral.
GACGAACGCUGGCGGCGUGCUUAACACAUGCAAGUCGAACGGAAAGGCCCUGCUUGCAGGGUACUCGAGUGGCGAACGGGUGAGUAACACGUGGGUGAUCUGCCCUGCACUUCGGGAUAAGCCUGGGAAACUGGGUCUAAUACCGGAUAGGAGCCAUUUUUAGUGUGAUGGUUGGAAAGUUUUUUUCGGUGUAGGAUGAGCUCGCGGCCUAUCAGCUUGUUGGUGGGGUAAUGGCCUACCAAGGCGGCGACGGGUAGCCGGCCUGAGAGGGUGGACGGCCACAUUGGGAAUGAGAUACGGCCCAGACUCCGACGGGAGGCAGCAGUGGGGAAUAUUGCACAAUGGGCGCAAGCCUGAUGCAGCGACGCCGCGUGGGGGAUGACGGCCUUCGGGUUGUAAACUCCUUUCGCUAGGGACGAAGCUUUUUGUGACGGUACCUAGAUAAGAAGCACCGGCUAACUACGUG